CCUACGGGAGGCUGCAGUGGGGAAUAUUGCGCAAUGGGCGAAAGCCUGACGCAGCGACGCCGCGUGAGGGAUGAAGGUCUUCGGAUUGUAAACCUCUGUCAGCAGGGAAGAACGGUCACUGUGCUAAUCAGCAGUGAAUUGACGGUACCUGCACAGGAAGCACCGGCUAACUCCGUGCCAGCAGCCGCGGUAAUACGGAGGGUGCGAGCGUUAAUCGGAAUUACUGGGCGUAAAGCGCUCGUAGGCGGUAUGUCAAGUCAAGGGUGAAAUCCCCGCGCUCAACGUGGGAACUGCCGUUGAAACUGGCAAACUGGAGUGUGUGAGAGGAUAGUGGAAUUCCAGGUGUAGGAGUGAAAUGCGUAGAUAUCUGGAGGAACAUCAGUGGCGAAGGCGACUAUCUGGCACAUAACUGACGCUGAGGAGCGAAAGCGUGGGUAGCAAACAGGAUUAGAUACCCCUGUAGUC
RNAcentral lists this ribosomal RNA (465 nucleotides) under uncultured bacterium. RNAcentral's name for it is "partial 16S ribosomal RNA". It matches the Rfam family "Bacterial small subunit ribosomal RNA", at positions 338 to 795 of the family's 1533-position model. The record is from RNAcentral.